This 558-nucleotide ribosomal RNA is filed under the name uncultured archaeon. Its description in RNAcentral is "bacterial SSU rRNA". It matches the Rfam family "Archaeal small subunit ribosomal RNA", at positions 332 to 881 of the family's 1478-position model. The record is from RNAcentral.
CCCGCCGAUUCGCAUUUCUUUAUCAUGCUGGCAACAGUAAUCCCGGGGACCUCGAAUGUCAGGAUACUCAUCGUGGCUGUGGCAAGGCCCAAGAAGCAUUGCAUACCAAGGGCCGGGUCAAGACCGGUGUCCGACCGCCGCGGUAAUCACCGGCGGCUCGAGUUGGCAACCGCUAUUAUUGUGGUCUAAAGAGGUCUGUACCGCGGCCGGAUAAGUCUUUUGGGAAAUCCAUCUGCUCAACAGUUGAGGCUUUCACAACAUACUGUUCAGCUCUAGACCGGGAGAGGUGAGAGGUACUUCAGGGGUACGGGUGAAAUCUUGUAAACCUUGAGGGACCACCGGAGGAGAAGGCGUCUCACCAUAACGAAGCUUACGGCCCAGGGACCAAUCCUAAGGGCACGAACCGGAUUAAAUACCCGGGUAGUCGAAGCCGUGAACGAUACUCCCUAAGUGUGAACCACUGUGAGACGGGGCAUUGGAGCCCCAUGGAAGCCAUGAAUCGAACCACCUGGGAAGUGCUGUCGCCAAGCGCAAACUUAUCGGACUUGGCGGGCACCA